This 253-nucleotide ribosomal RNA is filed under the name uncultured bacterium. Its description in RNAcentral is "partial 16S ribosomal RNA". It matches the Rfam family "Bacterial small subunit ribosomal RNA", at positions 524 to 776 of the family's 1533-position model. The record is from RNAcentral.
UACGUAGGGUGCAAGCGUUGUCCGGAUUUAUUGGGCGUAAAGAGCGUGUAGGCGGCCAUACAGGUCCGUUGUGAAAACUGGAGGCUUAACCUCCAGACGUCGAUGGAAACCGUAUGGCUAGAGUCCGGAGGAGGAGAGUGGAAUUCCUGGUGUAGCGGUGAAAUGCGCAGAUAUCAGGAAGAACACCCGUGGCGAAGGCGGCUCUCUGGGACGGUACUGACGCUGAGACGCGAAAGCGUGGGGAGCGAACAGG